This is a non-coding RNA of Nematostella vectensis (starlet sea anemone), 86 nucleotides long. NCBI's taxonomy places the organism in Eukaryota, Metazoa, Cnidaria, Anthozoa, Actiniaria, Edwardsiidae. The record is from Rfam.
CCUUCAAUAGCUCAUUUGGUAGAGCGGGGGGCUGUAGAUUUGUAAUUGUGAUCCGAAGUUUGCUGGUUCGAAUCCGGCUCGAAGGA